Non-coding RNA from Rhodanobacter sp. SCN 66-43, 97 nucleotides. The record is from Rfam. NCBI's taxonomy places the organism in Bacteria, Pseudomonadati, Pseudomonadota, Gammaproteobacteria, Lysobacterales, Rhodanobacteraceae.
CGUUGGUGCCUCCGCGACGCUAGAUCGAAAAUCCCGCCAGGGCCGGAAGGCAGCAACGGUAUUGAUUGACGCGUGCGCCGGAGAUCCGCUGGCGGGG